RNAcentral lists this long non-coding RNA (1469 nucleotides) under Homo sapiens (human). RNAcentral's name for it is "HSALNT0159603". Lineage: Eukaryota; Metazoa; Chordata; Mammalia; Primates; Hominidae. The record is from RNAcentral.
UUGAGCUGCAAACAUAGAUAAGAAAACUGGAAACUUGCAUGGAGGAAUGCUGUCAGCUAUGCUGAUAGUCUUGGUCCUGGGCCAAUAACCCUGGUCUGCAAAUGAGAGAGAUGUUCCAGACUACACAUACUGCAAAACAAAGUCAACUGGAGUAGAAUCUUUGAUGUGGCAUUUGAAUAAACACCUGAAUUGAAUUACUGAUAGACCGGUGCUGAAUGUCCUUCCAGCUGGUUCUCCAAUAAGUGGAUCUAUCCCAGAUACAGGUCACUUGCAAAGCUUGAACACCACAGAGUGGACUUAGGACCGAGCAACAAGCACCUUUUGCUUUGAGGAAUAUUUACCAUGUUUUCUAUAACCAUAAAAUAUCCAAAUAUGGAAGAUACAAACUCUAAAUCUUAUGUUUUAAACUCUCUGAAAUAGUGAUAUGAUUUGACUUUCUGUACUAUUCAUUCUUCUAUUAAAAAGUGAGUGAGUUGUGGUCACAGAAAUGUAAAGCACAAUAGAGUUUGUUGUAGAAAGAAAAAGGAAGAAAAAGGAAGGUAAAAUAAGAUUUCUGUGAGCAUAGGUCUUUCACAAACAAGGUGCAUCAAUGCCCAAGGAAAACCAGUCCACUGGCUGCUUUUAUGCAUUGUAGGAAAGACCAUAAAAGUCACACUGAUCUUGUAUCAAAAGGUGGCAGUCCUGUGUUCAUGGCCUGCUGGUGAAAAUUUUAAAUCAUUGAGAUGCUACAGGCAACAUAUUUCUCAAGCUACUAAACCCUGGAGGAAGGUAAAGAUUGCAAAAACCACAUAAUUGAGCUGAACCUGGUAUUCCCCUUUGCAAAACAAGGAUACUGUCCUCAGUCUGUCUUGCAGGAAUAUUAAGAGCUCUUCUUUCACAAAAUAUUUUGAGUUUUUCUGAGAGAGAAGCUCUGAAAAUAUUGAGACUGUUUUUUUUAACAUAGCAGCAAAAUACUCUUUUUUUAGUAAACUAUAUUUGCACAUGUGAACAUUCUCAGAUUUUAAAGUCUUACUCUUAAGUCUUACUCUCUUUAAGUGAAUUUUUAUGUUUAUGGUAUUUUGUGAAAUAUCAAGAGCAGCAAAACUGAAUUACAAAUAUAAUUGCUGUUUUACUAUAGCUAAGAAUGAAAACAGAUGGUAAUUAUGUCCACUACAAAUUGUCCCCUGAGCACAUGGGUCAUCCAUGUUUCUUAUGGAUGAUCAGUUUCUUAGAGGUGCAGAAGAACCAUACCUUGCUACAUCCUUGAAAAUGGAUUUUUGCUAUAAUAAGUGAACUUUCAGGAUGUGGUGCAACUAUGAACACACUCAAUUGCAUAACCUGUGGUUUCCUAAGCAGGAUUUCCAUUUGAAAAUGCCCAGGGUCUGUUAGAGAAGAGAAAGUCUAAAUAGGAUCUUAAAUGACAUUGAUGCUUCAGAGAUGUGAAGAUUAAUCAUGAUUUUUUUGGGGAGGGGGGCAACUCCGUUUUCUUA